RNAcentral lists this transfer RNA (493 nucleotides) under Mesorhizobium sp. S792. RNAcentral's name for it is "partial 16S-23S ribosomal RNA intergenic spacer". The stretch from base 21 to 94 matches the Rfam family "tRNA". The record is from RNAcentral. Lineage: Bacteria; Pseudomonadati; Pseudomonadota; Alphaproteobacteria; Hyphomicrobiales; Phyllobacteriaceae.
CUGGCAGAGCGCGGUCUUUAGGGCUUGUAGCUCAGUUGGUUAGAGCGCGCGCUUGAUAAGCGUGAGGUCGGAGGUUCAAGUCCUCCCAGGCCCACCAUCUCCUUGAUGUCUGCCAUCUUCUUGGUGGUUCUAUCAGGAACACAAUCAGGGGCCGUAGCUCAGCUGGGAGAGCGCCUGCUUUGCAAGCAGGAUGUCGUCGGUUCGAUCCCGUCCGGCUCCACCAUCUUCCCUGGAAGAGGUGUCGAGUAGAGAUGUGGUGAAAAAAGUCAUUCGUAUAAAGGUUUGUGGUGAGCUUCUUGGCUUGCCGCUUGUUCUGUUUGACAUCGUAAAGAGAAGAUUUGUUCGAACUUCAUGGGCUGAAAGGCUUCAUGAUUUGUCGCAAGGGACGCUCAAUCCCUUGCAUAUGAUGGGUUUGCCUAACCGCGCCCUCGAACCGAUCUCGAGAAGCUGGUCUUUUUGUGCCAAUGACAUCGAAUUGGAUCCCGCACAGGAU